Long non-coding RNA from Mus musculus (house mouse), 164 nucleotides. RefSeq annotates it as predicted gene, 21094. The record is from RefSeq and is a predicted model, not a curated record. The transcript is spliced from 3 exons. NCBI's taxonomy places the organism in Eukaryota, Metazoa, Chordata, Mammalia, Rodentia, Muridae.
UGGGAAGGUGUUCUCCUCUUAGAUGAGCUAGUUUUUAGGUGUGCUGUCAACCUACUCCAGUAUCCUCUUUCCAAUUUCGAUUCAGAGGCAUUCAGAGUAAAGAGCCCAGCAUUUGAUAAAAAUGAGAAUAUAUCGCCUCAAGCAGAAGCAGAUGAAGAUAUGGG